Acanthosepion pharaonis is the source of this 110-nucleotide non-coding RNA. NCBI's taxonomy places the organism in Eukaryota, Metazoa, Mollusca, Cephalopoda, Sepiida, Sepiidae. The record is from the annotation of a GenBank genome assembly.
UGGCCAUUUAGUGUUGAAACACCGAUUCCCAUAUGAUCUCUGAAGUUAAGCAACAUCAAAUCUGGUCAGUACCUAGAUGGGUGACCACUUGGAAAUACCAUGUUCUGUAA